Molecule: long non-coding RNA, 1056 nt
Filed under: Homo sapiens (human)
Lineage: Eukaryota; Metazoa; Chordata; Mammalia; Primates; Hominidae
Description: HSALNT0408780
Source: RNAcentral
CCCCCUCGUGGGGAAGGUAGAAGGUGGGGUCUGCCGGACGCGUGUUCCUGCCACCAGGUGCCCGCUCCCCGCGAGGCCGGCUCAGGAGCAGAAGGAAGCCCGGUGCCAGCCAGCCUUCCUGAAAGACCAAGCCCGCGCCAUCCGGCUUCCUCCAGUGGACGCCUGCAGGACCCAGGAAUGUUUUUCUUGAAGGCAUCCAGCAUCUCCAGUUAGCAGUACUGAUUUUUUUUCCCCCCAACAAAGGAACACUACAUCAACACUGUUGGCGGGGACCUGGACACAGAAGACUCCUGUUUCAAGAAAAUACAAUCAUCUCUCAAAGGCUGUAAUUUAUAUGCAUUUUAAAACUCUAGGCAUUGAAAACCACCCAAGUGUCCCAAAUAGAAGGGUAAUAUAUAAUCAAUCACUCAGUGUAAUAUUAUACAUCCUUUAAAAAUGUUAUUGGGAAAUGUUUUAUGAUCUGUAAGUCCAAGGAAUCCUCUCCCACCAUUUCUUUCCCCCCGCUGUUCCCCCAUACCCACACUUCUUUGUUCCAAUUGGCAUGUAAAUUUGGUUUUCCCGCCAAAUGAGUCAGUCAUGAUGGGAACCUCAACUGAUUUGAACAGAUGUGUGUCAAUGUUACUUGGAAAACUAGAUGUCAAUAACCAGGGUCACAGAAAAAGGCAGUGGUCACAACUCUGUAAAAAUGUAUGCAUGCACACAGACAAGAACUAAAGUGGAACCCCACACAGGAAAACAGUGGGCUGUACUCCAGUGCUGGGACAUUGAAUGACUGUAUGCUGCUUUUGAUUUCCGUUAAUAUGGGCAACUGUCCAAUUAAAAAAAAAACUCCUAAGGACUCUGCAGUGCAAAUUGUUUUGCUGAUUGUUUUAAAACACCAUACCUAUCAACUCAUCAAGGCAAAUGGGGCAGCGGGGGACUGGGUUCGUUCCCUGAAUCCUGGACUGCUAUAGAGCUCAGGGCAACAUUUGCAGAAAACCUGAGCCUAUGAGAUGGGAGUUAUAGGCAGCUUUCCUGAGGCUGUGUAAGAUGAAAAUAAAACUAGGUUCAAAAAAU